RNAcentral lists this long non-coding RNA (411 nucleotides) under Bos taurus (domestic cattle). Its description in RNAcentral is "long non-coding RNA NONBTAT002759". Lineage: Eukaryota; Metazoa; Chordata; Mammalia; Artiodactyla; Bovidae. The record is from RNAcentral.
GGGAUAUUUGAAACUCCAGUAACAAAAAUUGAGCUCAGUGAACCUUUGCAUGUUUUGGUAUGAGUUUAUUAAAUAACCACAGACUGUCAGGGUAUCAGCGUGGCAGGGGGCGUCCAUUUACAGCACGGACGAGUCUGAAGAGAGAAUAAGGUAAGAUUUAUGUUUUUUUUUUUCCUGUCCUUUCCUCUUCAUUAUUUCACUACUUUCUUAAAUCUUUUUAGAUUCACUUCAUUUUUUCUUUCUCCAGUCUUUGUGUUAAAAAAAUAUAUAUGUGUGUGUGUGUGUAUCUACUUACUGCAUAUAUAUUAUAUAAUCUUUUAGAAUUGUGUUUAGUAUGGACCAGAUUCACUUACUUUUUCAUUUACUUAGAAGAAAACUUUUGAAAUGAGUUCUGAAACAAAUUAUUAUUUA